GACGAACGCUGGCGGCGUGCUUAACACAUGCAAGUCGCACGAGGACGGGAGCUUGCUCCCGAGCCGAGUGGCGGACGGGUGAGUAACACGUGACCAACUUGUCCUAGGGUGAGGGACAACCUGGGGAAACCCGGGCUAAUACCGCAUGAUGUCUCGAGGUCGCAUGGCCAUGAGAUCAAAGAGGGCCUCUGCUUGCAAGCUCUCGCCCUGGGAGGGGGUCGCGGCGUAUCAGCUAGUUGGUAGGGUAACGGCCUACCAAGGCUACGACGCGUAGCGGGUCUGAGAGGACGACCCGCCUCAUUGGGACUGAGAUACGGCCCAGACUCCUACGGGAGGCAGCAGUGGGGAAUAUUACGCAAUGGACGAAAGUCUGACGCAGCGACGCCGCGUGUGGGAGGAAGCUCUUCGGGGUGUAAACCACUGUCAGGAGGGAAGAAACUCGCCGGCCCGAACAGGAACGGCGAUUGACGGUACCUCCAAAGGAAGUGCCGGCUAACUCCGUGCCAGC
This 508-nucleotide ribosomal RNA is filed under the name uncultured bacterium. Its description in RNAcentral is "bacterial SSU rRNA". It matches the Rfam family "Bacterial small subunit ribosomal RNA", at positions 28 to 512 of the family's 1533-position model. The record is from RNAcentral.